This 127-nucleotide ribosomal RNA is filed under the name uncultured fungus. RNAcentral describes it as "partial 5.8S ribosomal RNA". It matches the Rfam family "5.8S ribosomal RNA", at positions 30 to 154 of the family's 154-position model. Rfam says of the family: 5.8S ribosomal RNA (5.8S rRNA) is a component of the large subunit of the eukaryotic ribosome. It is transcribed by RNA polymerase I as part of the 45S precursor that also contains 18S and 28S rRNA. Functionally, it is thought that 5.8S rRNA may be involved in ribosome translocation. The record is from RNAcentral. Lineage: Eukaryota; Fungi.
GCAUCGAUGAAGAACGCAGCGAAAUGCGAUAAUUAAUGUGAAUUGCAGAAUUCAGUGAAUCAUCGAGUCUUUGAACGCACAUUGCACCCCCUGGUAUUCCGGGGGGUAUGCCUGUCCGAGCGUCAUU